Molecule: non-coding RNA, 21 nt
Filed under: Caenorhabditis elegans
Lineage: Eukaryota; Metazoa; Nematoda; Chromadorea; Rhabditida; Rhabditidae
Source: RNAcentral
UGUGUGUUUUGUGCAAUUAUA